GGAGAGGUGGCAGAGUGGUCGAUUGCGGCGGUCUUGAAAACCGCUGAGCCCGUCAGGGUUCCGGGGGUUCGAAUCCCUCCCUCUCCGCCA
Molecule: transfer RNA, 90 nt
Filed under: Verrucomicrobia bacterium ADurb.Bin122
Lineage: Bacteria; Pseudomonadati; Verrucomicrobiota
Also listed under: 1 other name
Description: tRNA-Ser
Rfam family: tRNA
About the family: Transfer RNA (tRNA) molecules are approximately 80 nucleotides in length. Their secondary structure includes four short double-helical elements and three loops (D, anti-codon, and T loops).
Source: RNAcentral